This 1337-nucleotide ribosomal RNA is filed under the name Bacillus sp. DU102(2010). RNAcentral describes it as "bacterial SSU rRNA". It matches the Rfam family "Bacterial small subunit ribosomal RNA", at positions 38 to 1361 of the family's 1533-position model. Lineage: Bacteria; Bacillati; Bacillota; Bacilli; Caryophanales; Bacillaceae. The record is from RNAcentral.
AGGGCGGCAGCUAUACAUGCAGUCGAGCGAACAGAAGGGAGCUUGCUCCCGGAUGUUAGCGGCGGACGGGUGAGUAACACGUGGGUAACCUGCCUGUAAGACUGGGAUAACUCCGGGAAACCGGAGCUAAUACCGGAUAGUUCCUUGAACCGCAUGGUUCAAGGAUGAAAGACGGUUUCGGCUGUCACUUACAGAUGGACCCGCGGCGCAUUAGCUAGUUGGUGGGGUAAUGGCUCACCAAGGCGACGAUGCGUAGCCGACCUGAGAGGGUGAUCGGCCACACUGGGACUGAGACACGGCCCAGACUCCUACGGGAGGCAGCAGUAGGGAAUCUUCCGCAAUGGACGAAAGUCUGACGGAGCAACGCCGCGUGAGUGAUGAAGGUUUUCGGAUCGUAAAGCUCUGUUGUUAGGGAAGAACAAGUGCGAGAGUAACUGCUCGCACCUUGACGGUACCUAACCAGAAAGCCACGGCUAACUACGUGCCAGCAGCCGCGGUAAUACGUAGGUGGCAAGCGUUGUCCGGAAUUAUUGGGCGUAAAGGGCUCGCAGGCGGUUUCUUAAGUCUGAUGUGAAAGCCCCCGGCUCAACCGGGGAGGGUCAUUGGAAACUGGGAAACUUGAGUGCAGAAGAGGAGAGUGGAAUUCCACGUGUAGCGGUGAAAUGCGUAGAGAUGUGGAGGAACACCAGUGGCGAAGGCGACUCUCUGGUCUGUAACUGACGCUGAGGAGCGAAAGCGUGGGGAGCGAACAGGAUUAGAUACCCUGGUAGUCCACGCCGUAAACGAUGAGUGCUAAGUGUUAGGGGGUUUCCGCCCCUUAGUGCUGCAGCUAACGCAUUAAGCACUCCGCCUGGGGAGUACGGUCGCAAGACUGAAACUCAAAGGAAUUGACGGGGGCCCGCACAAGCGGUGGAGCAUGUGGUUUAAUUCGAAGCAACGCGAAGAACCUUACCAGGUCUUGACAUCCUCUGACAACCCUAGAGAUAGGGCUUUCCCUUCGGGGACAGAGUGACAGGUGGUGCAUGGUUGUCGUCAGCUCGUGUCGUGAGAUGUUGGGUUAAGUCCCGCAACGAGCGCAACCCUUGAUCUUAGUUGCCAGCAUUUAGUUGGGCACUCUAAGGUGACUGCCGGUGACAAACCGGAGGAAGGUGGGGAUGACGUCAAAUCAUCAUGCCCCUUAUGACCUGGGCUACACACGUGCUACAAUGGACAGAACAAAGGGCUGCGAGACCGCAAGGUUUAGCCAAUCCCAUAAAUCUGUUCUCAGUUCGGAUCGCAGUCUGCAACUCGACUGCGUGAAGCUGGAAUCGCUAGUAAUCGCGGAUCAGCAUGCCGCG